Long non-coding RNA from Pomacea canaliculata, 371 nucleotides. RefSeq lists it as uncharacterized. The record is from RefSeq and is a predicted model, not a curated record. The transcript has 5 exons. NCBI's taxonomy places the organism in Eukaryota, Metazoa, Mollusca, Gastropoda, Architaenioglossa, Ampullariidae.
GUAAACACUCGACUUCUUGGUUUUCCUUGCCUACCUUUGCAUUGACAGGAAUCAAAGUGUAAAUUCGAUCCCGCCAUCUACUGACCGUACACACAUCACAACCCACGUUCUCUUAACUCAGUUGGAUUGUUUCUUCUUCAAACGGGCGGACUAAUCGGCAAUUUCAUCAUGAAGGUUGUCAUUCUCUCCUGUCUUGUAGCUGCAGUUCUUGGGGUGGACUACGACGAAGCUAAAGCAGGUUUUGACGCUCUCGACCUAGACGGUGAUGGGAUUGUACUGCAAGAGGAAAUACUGACUUUCAUCGAACAAAACGACCUAAACAACGACGGAAACAUAACCAUUGAAGAGAAAACAGCUACUGAGCUACCCGG